CAUUUUUGAGAAACAAACGAUACUACAAGUAUUCCAGGAAUUAACUUUAUUCCCUCAAAAAC
RNAcentral lists this transfer RNA (62 nucleotides) under Gymnobelideus leadbeateri (Leadbeater's possum). RNAcentral describes it as "tRNA-Lys". Lineage: Eukaryota; Metazoa; Chordata; Mammalia; Diprotodontia; Petauridae. The record is from RNAcentral.